Molecule: ribosomal RNA, 433 nt
Filed under: uncultured Lachnospiraceae bacterium
Lineage: Bacteria; Bacillati; Bacillota; Clostridia; Lachnospirales; Lachnospiraceae
Description: partial 16S ribosomal RNA
Rfam family: Bacterial small subunit ribosomal RNA
Source: RNAcentral
ACGGGAGGCAGCAGUGGGGAAUAUUGGACAAUGGGGGAAACCCUGAUCCAGCGACGCCGCGUGAGUGAAGAAGUAUUUCGGUAUGUAAAGCUCUAUCAGCAGGAAAGAAAAUGACGGUACCUGACUAAGAAGCCCCGGCUAACUACGUGCCAGCAGCCGCGGUAAUACGUAGGGGGCAAGCGUUAUCCGGAUUUACUGGGUGUAAAGGGAGCGUAGACGGUUUUGCAAGUCAGAAGUGAAAGCCCGGGGCCCAACCCCGGAACUGCUUUUGAAACUGUAGAACUGGAGUGCAGGAGAGGUAAGUGGAAUUCCUAGUGUAGCGGUGAAUGCGUAGAUAUUAGGAGGAACACCAGUGGCGAAGGCGGCUUACUGGACUGUAACUGACGUUGAGGCUCGAAGGCGUGGGGAGCAAACAGGAUUAGAUACCCUGGUA